AGAGUUUGAUUAUGGCUCAGGACGAACGCUGGCGGCAUGCUUCAUACAUGCAAGUCGAACGAUAAGGUCUCUUCGGAGAUACAUAAGUGGCGGACGGGUGAGUAAUAUGUAGGAAAUCUGCCCUAGAGAGGGGGACAACAGAGGGAAACUUCUGCUAAUACCCCAUAUGAGCGUACCUGAGAUGGUAUUCUUGAAAACUCCGGUGCUCUAGGAUGAGCCUGCAUCUGAUUAGCUUGUUGGCGGUGUAAUGGACCACCAAGGCGACGAUCAGUAGCUGGUUUGAGAGGAUGAUCAGCCACAAUGGGACUGAGACACGGCCCAUACUCCUACGGGAGGCAGCAGUAGGGAAUUUUGCGCAAUGGGCGAAAGCCUGAACCGCAGCAAUGCCGCGUGAACGUAGAAGCCCUUCGGGGUGUAAAGUUCUGUCAGUGGGGACGAAUAAUGACGGUACCCACAGAGGAAGCACCGGCUAACUCCGUGCCAGCAGCGGC
This 491-nucleotide ribosomal RNA is filed under the name uncultured bacterium. Its description in RNAcentral is "bacterial SSU rRNA". It matches the Rfam family "Bacterial small subunit ribosomal RNA", at positions 8 to 518 of the family's 1533-position model. The record is from RNAcentral.